AUGAACGCCAAUACACGGAGACGGGGGCACAGUUGGUCCACAUCAGCGCUACAGCUUUGUUUAAAUAUACCCAGACUACAUGAAGCAUUGCUGUCAGGCGUCACGGCUUUAUGUCAAAAUAAAUCUGAAGAAAAAAAAAGUAAGAAAUCAAAUAAUUGUAGGAAGAUGGCGCCCACCAAGCCUAGCAUUCAGCAAGACCCUACAAGAAGAGAACGGGAAAUUAAAACCCUACACCCUUUCUGCAUGGAGGAAUCAGUGGAGGAGGCCGUAGUUGAUGCCCAAUUCAUGUCCAAAUUUCCCCAGUAAGUUGGAAGUCUUAUUUAACCCAUUCAUUGAGGACAUUAAGUGAUUUAAAACAUUGCUUAUUUAAAUCACCAAGAUCAUUUUCAGAGUUUACAUAGUUGUUGAUGUCCUUUGAUACUUGUUAGCCCGGCCUAGUGCUGCUUACGAAACCAACUCAAUGAACGAAGCAAGACUAAAACUCUGUAUAGAUAGAGAGAGAGAGGAAGAGAGAGAGAGGCUGAGGGGAGUGCUGUGGGAUUAUUUCAAAUAAUCUUUGAAGAGGUAGGGUUUCAGAUGUUUUCAAAAGAUGGGAUGAUCUGCUGUCCUAGCUCCAGGGGGAAGAUGGUUCCACCAUUGGUGUGCCAGGACAGAGAAGAGCUUGGACUGGGAGCUGACCUCCCUUAAGGGUGGGAGGGCCAAGAGACCAGAGGUGGCAGAAUGGAGUCCUCGGGUUGUGGUGAAGGGUUUGAGCAUAGCCUGAAGGUAGGGAGGGGCAGUUCCUCUUGCUGCUCCCUAGGCAAAUACCUUGGUCUUGUAGCGACAGAAAGGAAGAGAGGAUAGGAUGAUAGGUCCUCCGGAAGUUUAUUUUACCUAAAUUUUCGCUCUGCGGCCAGGGCCCUGUUCUGUAAGCUCACAAUGAGUCACUCAGUCAUUCUAUCACCCCACAGUAAGUUAGUGGAAACAGAUUAAGAAGGUAUAGUCAGUCAGAGAGAGGUGUGAUGCUGGGCGCGGGAUAACAGGGCAUGUAAAUAAAUUGUUCGCUGGCGCUGUUGCCCGGCUGCUAGCCGUGGAGAGAAUUGAGUCCCCCACAUUGAGAGUUUAGGGAGAAAGCAGGCGGUACUCUCUCUCUCUCUCUCUCUCUCUCUCUUUAUCUCUCUCUCUCUCUCUCUCUUUAUCGCUCUCUCUCUCUCUCUCUCUCUCUCUCUGUACUCUCUUUACCUCUCCCCCCUCUCUCUACAUCUUUCUCUCUCUAUGCUCUGACUGCGCUCUCUCUCUCUCUCUCCGUUCCCUCCAUCAGAGCAAAUUCAUCAUGCCUCUGGCACUUCACCAUCUCUUGCCAGCCAUUCAGAUUAGUCCUCAUAAAGACAGAUCCAGAGCAGAACAGAGGGAACUCUAACUGACCGUGAUUGCAAAAUGCUGCUCACCCAAAGUUAUUCUCCUUUCCAGACAUAUUGCUAGGCAGGGCUUAACAAUAUGUACUCUUUUAUCUUUGUUUAUGGAACAUGUGUGGGAUUGAGAGAGGGAAAUAUUUUUCUCUGUUCAAUAAGAGUUAUCAUAGUCAUCAUAUUUAAGAGGGAGGGAGGAGAAGGAGGGAGAGAGAGGGAAGGGAGGCUUUUCUCCUCUCCCCUCCUCUCCUCUCUUUUCCUCUCUUCUCCUGCUUGGUCUGGCUGGCAGUUAUUUGUCAGACAGCUUCAUCCCUAUGUGUCAACACAGUAACACUUAAACACUGGGCUGGGCUGGGUUGAACACUCACUGUCCAACAGCAGUCUGUCUGCCCACUUCUUCACCUCUCUGUUCAACACAUGGGUUCUGGACCAGAACUACUGUAUGGCUAGGAGGUUUUGCUGGUCAGCCAGGCCCAGCAGGGUCCAGAGUUUUCCCUGGUCAUGCCAUGAUGUGGCCCUAGACAUAGGGUGUCUUCACUAUUCACCCAGAUACAGUACGUACAGUGCAUUCAGAAAGUAUUCAGACCCCUUGACUUUUUCCACAUUUUGUUACGUUACAGCCUUCUACUAAAAUGUAUUAAAUUGUUUUUUUCCCUCAUCAAUAUAUACACAAUGCCUCAUAAUUACAACGCAAAAACAGGUG
Molecule: long non-coding RNA, 2091 nt
Organism: Oncorhynchus mykiss (rainbow trout)
Lineage: Eukaryota; Metazoa; Chordata; Actinopteri; Salmoniformes; Salmonidae
Source: Ensembl